UAUUUAGAGAGGCUGCUUGUAGGCAGUCUAGCACUUCAAAUAUAAAAAUCGUCUGGGAAAGGGGAAGGUUAUAUUUGAAAUGACAAAAAGAAGACACCUUUAGAUUUCACAGCAUGGCCUUCCUGAACCUGUCCUGGUCCUGAGGAGAGCUCUGAGGAAGCUGCAAGCCUUGGGCCCGUUCAAAUACUGUGGUUAUUGGGAUGCAGAAGAAGGCAGCUCGGCCGUGGCCGCCUUUGCAAUUCACCUUAUCCUCUGCUAUUCAAUUCAUUUAAUGGAGUCGGAUUACCACCCAUUUGAGCAAGUGCAGCUGGAAUUAGGAGAUGACAAGGAUGCAAAGAAAGUGUCAAGAACUCCUGAGGUGACCGAGAUGUCGGGGUGGCCCCUACCCCUCGCAGUCCCCUGGUGUCCCCCAGGGCCCCUGGCCUCCGGCCUGUGCCCACUGACCCCGGCGCAGACCUGCCUUUCUUCUCGCUGUAGCUCCGCAUGGGCAAGGGCCACCGCUGGGUUGCUUUGGCGCUUCAUUUGCCUCAUGACAGGCUUCUGCCAGCCCUGCAGGUUUCAGCCCUUGACAUGGCCAGGCUAGCCACACUCUGUCAUACAGGAAUAUGUAUUUAUUUAUAUGUGUAUAUUUUUAAAAGAUAAAAUUUGUAUAUACCUAUGUAUAUGCAUAUAUAUACACACAUACACAUGGAUGUUCCUGUAUUGGCUAGAAGAAAGAAUCGGCAUAAAGUAACUGCUGAAAUGUGGAGUGAGUACCACUGUGCUUACGCUUUUCUCCAUCCACUUGGAAAAAGUAACCCUGCAUGAAAACACAUGUAUGUGUGUGCGGUUACUUUUUUAAACAAUCCCUCAUAUUUGAUUGAAAUGGAAUAUGCCACCAUGUAUAUUUAAGAUUAAAGCUUUAUUUUUAAAGGCCUGUAAUCCUUUCAAGGAGAUUUUGUUGAUAUAAGACUUCAUUGGAAAGUAAUUGUGGAUUGUACAGCUCUGACCUUUGCAGGAAGCAGGGUGCAGGUCUGCACAGCUGAGAAAUACUGUGCAUCAAUUUCUUGUGAAGCCCCUGCAGACCAGCUAACUCUAAGGAGGCUGUGAUGCAUGCGAAGGAAAGUGACUGACUUAACUCAUUGGGAUUCAGGGAACGACCUGCCCUCUUUUGAAAAAAAAAAAAAAAGGAAGACGAAGAAAA
Harpia harpyja (harpy eagle) is the source of this 1183-nucleotide long non-coding RNA. RefSeq lists it as uncharacterized. The transcript has 4 exons. The record is from RefSeq and is a predicted model, not a curated record. NCBI's taxonomy places the organism in Eukaryota, Metazoa, Chordata, Aves, Accipitriformes, Accipitridae.